Molecule: long non-coding RNA, 298 nt
Organism: Callorhinchus milii (elephant shark)
Lineage: Eukaryota; Metazoa; Chordata; Chondrichthyes; Chimaeriformes; Callorhinchidae
Exons: 3
Source: RefSeq, a predicted model, not a curated record
UUGAUAUCCGGGAGAUUAAAGAGAUCCGGCCUGGGAAAAAUUCCAGAGAUUUUGAACGUUAUCCGGACGAAGCUCGCAAGCUGGACCCUGACCUGUGUCUUGUCAUCUUAUAUGGGAUGGAAUUCCGACUCAAAUCCCUCAGCCUCUCAGCUUCCUGUGAAGAUGACGUGAGCCUUUGGAUUUCGGGUCUGAAUUGGCUCGUGCAGGACACACAAAGCUCCGCCACCCCCCUUCAGGUGGAGAGGUGGCUCCGGAAACAGUUUGAUCAGAUGGACAGAAACAGAGAAGGCAGGUGAGC